RNAcentral lists this long non-coding RNA (1113 nucleotides) under Sus scrofa (pig). Its description in RNAcentral is "lncRNA (ENSSSCG00070017172.1)". Lineage: Eukaryota; Metazoa; Chordata; Mammalia; Artiodactyla; Suidae. The record is from RNAcentral.
GCUGCACAUGUGAAGUGUUAGUUUUUUGCAGGGUCACAUGGACAAGAAAGCCUCCUGUGCCCCACCUAACAUCAGAUUUCUGUUUUAGGUUCUACUCAGGUAUGACAUGACCCUGUAGAGAUUGCUUCUUGCUAAACUCAGCUGCAACAGUCUACAAUUUCUAGUACCAUGAACUUCAGAUGUAUAUGCUGAACAGAUUGUUUACUCAUUCCUGGGAGCUGUGUUCACAAUGAGUGGAAUCACUUCGACGUCUCCUGUUUGUUUGGUUUGGUGUUUGCUGUGGUCAGGAAGUACCUGCCCUCCCAGAGACUGCCCCAGGUUGGAUUUUUUAAAGUUGGCUUUGCAGAUCUUAGGUGGGAUCAUGAGUGGGGCUCUUCCUUGUAUAUUUAUAUCUAAAUGUUGAACACAUGAUAACUCUUAGCAGCCCAGAAAAUUGCCUGAGCUCUCAGUGUCAUAUGCAUAAGCGUCACAUGUAUUGGAGAAGCCUGAACCUUCUUACUGGUCAGACUAGGGACAUGGGGUCAAACCACAUGGUGGCUGAGUGUGGAAUGGGGGUUAAUAAGCAUUCAUUCUGGUCUGACCUUUUGGGAGUUUCUUUUUCCCAUCUGCAGAAGAAGAGGUUGCAUUAGAUGAAAUGAAAACUCAUGCCAACUCAAGUGCUAUAAUUUCACUUGGAUCUCUGGAUCUAGACAUGGAAACUGCUCCUUGUACCAAACACUACUGCCAUCUUUUCGGGCCACAAAAUGUCCGGUUUCAACCUGCUCUGGAGCAUCGGGUGCCAGGAUGGCUUACAAUUUCGUGGAGAGAAAUUGUUCAAGUAAUUAAACAAAAAUCAUCAAAAAUCAGCCCUCGGGUUAUUCAGAGCAAUCUAUCUACCCGCAGAAGACACUGACAGAAAAUCUUAAAUUCUUCUUCUUAAGACACCUACCUCAUACACAAAGAUAAGUGUAUUUAAUCUACUUUGUAUCCUGCUUUAUUUCAUAUAACAUUAUAUUCUAAACAUUUUCAAUAUUUUGACAAAUUAUGAUAAUCAAUUUAAAAGGGUACAUAAUACAUAAAGUAUUUUAAUUUACAUAUAGCAUCAUACCUAACAGAUAUAAAAAUGUUGGUCUA